AUUGAACGCUGGCGGCAGGCUUAACACAUGCAAGUCGAGCGGAGAUGAGGUGCUUGCACCUUAUCUUAGCGGCGGACGGGUGAGUAAUGCUUAGGAAUCUGCCUAUUAGUGGGGGACAACAUUCCGAAAGGAAUGCUAAUACCGCAUACGUCCUACGGGAGAAAGCAGGGGAUCUUCGGACCUUGCGCUAAUGGAUACGCCUAAGUCGGGUUAGCUAGUUGGUGGGGUAAAGGCCUACCAAGGCGACGAUCGGUAGCGGGUCUGAGAGGAUGAUCCGCCACACUGGGACUGAGACACGGCCCAGACUCCUACGGGAGGCAGCAGUGGGGAAUAUUGGACAAUGGGGGAAACCCUGAUCCAGCCAUGCCGCGUGUGUGAAGAAGGCCUUAUGGUUGUAAAGCACUUUAAGCGAGGAGGAGGCUACUGAGACUAAUACUCUUGGAUAGUGGACGUUACUCGCAGAAUAAGCACCGGCUAACUCUGUGCCAGCCGCCGCCGUAA
Molecule: ribosomal RNA, 501 nt
Filed under: uncultured bacterium
Lineage: Bacteria
Description: partial 16S ribosomal RNA
Rfam family: Bacterial small subunit ribosomal RNA
Source: RNAcentral